This 267-nucleotide long non-coding RNA is filed under the name Solanum tuberosum (potato). RNAcentral's name for it is "long non-coding RNA (STUB_LNC004837)". The record is from RNAcentral. Lineage: Eukaryota; Viridiplantae; Streptophyta; Magnoliopsida; Solanales; Solanaceae.
AGGAAUAUAUAUAUAAUUAAUCAACGUAUUUCAUACUCCGAUGGAGUAUCCUUUACAUGUCAUCAUAAUUAGGAGGUGAUCACUACACUUGACAUCCAUUCAAGAUCGAACGUAUAUAAUAAUACUAUCUCGCAUUUCAUACUGGAAUGGAUUAUAUGUUAGCUCUUCACCUCUACUACAUCAUGACAUGAGAUAUUAAGUUUAUGAUUAGACAAGGACUGAUAGGAUUUGUACAUUACUCUAUAAUAUAAGUAUAAUUAUCUCCUA